RNAcentral lists this long non-coding RNA (4170 nucleotides) under Sus scrofa (pig). RNAcentral's name for it is "lncRNA (ENSSSCG00050009318.1)". Lineage: Eukaryota; Metazoa; Chordata; Mammalia; Artiodactyla; Suidae. The record is from RNAcentral.
AUAUUAGAUAAGCUUAUGCUUGAUACAUGUGGAAAUGAAUCCAACUAGUACCCCUGAAGAUGCAGGUUCGAUCCCUGGCCUCACUCAGUGGGUUGGGGAUCCAGCGUUGCCGUGAGCUGUGGUAUAGGUCACAGACAUGGCCUGGGUCCCGAGUUGCUGCGGCUCUGGUGUAGGUUGGUAUCUGUGGCUCUGAUUUGACCCCUAGCCUGGGAAAUUCCAUAUGCUGCGUGUGGCCAUAAAAAGACAAAUAAAUAAAUAAAUGGAGAGACUAUUUUGUCACAAAAGUGCCUAAAAAUUAAUAUAUAUAUUAAUAACAUAUAUGGUAUGUAUUAUUACUUUAUAUGUAUAAUAAAGUGUACACGUAUAUUUUAUAAGUACAUUUUUACCUAUCAUAGAAUGCACAAAUCCUAAAUAUAUAGUUUGGCGGGUUUUGACAAAUGUAUAUGCUCAUGUUAGCUUCACCUAAAUCAAGAUACAGAAUGUUUCCAUCACCCCAGAAAUUUCCUUCCUGUCCCUUUUCAGUCAGUUCGCCUAUCUCUUCCAGAGGCACUGGCUGUUUGAUUUCUCCCACCAUGGGUUUGUCUUGUCUGUAUUUUGAAAUUCAUAUAAAUGAAAUAAUGUAGUACGUACUCUUUUGUGUCUGGCUUUUUUCACUCAAAAUAUUUUGGAGAGAUUUCAUAUUGUUGUCUGAUCAUGGUUCUUUUCUAUUGUGAAAUAGUAUUUUGUCAUAUACAUAUGCCACUUGCUUUAUAUUUUUGCCUGUUGAUGGAUAGACAUUUGGACUGUUUAUUUUUUUCCAGCUAUUAUGAAUAAAGCUGCUAUAUAUGGUCCAAUUCUGCCAUAUCUUUGCCAGUCUUUGAUCUUGUCUGUCUUUUGAAUUUUAGCCAUUGUAGUGUAUGUGGAAAAAGGGGAAAAGUACAGAAAUCCUCCCUUAUCUGCAGGUGAUACUUUCCAAAUUAGGCAAAGGAAGAGAUUACAUGAGAGAGUAGAACAAUUAUAACUAAUAUACUGUGAUGAAAGUUAUGUGAAUGUGAUCUCUUUCAAAAGAUCUUCUUGUUCAAAUAUAAUGCCUUUUCCAUCUUAGCUAAGCACUUAGCACUCACUGUGGUUGUGACUUUCGCAGUUUUAAGUGCAGCAGCAAACCUAGCAUGAAGUAUUCUUUCCUUCUUCUCGAUCUCCUGAAGAGAAAAUUUAUUCUUACCAUAGAUCUUAUUAGCAUCCUCAGCAUGUGGUUUUUUUCUUUCCCUAUUAAGUCGAGAACUUUUACCUUUUCACUUCAAGGAAGCACUUUUUGGCUUCUCUUUGGCAGCUCUGAACUGCCAUCAUCACUCUUCUUGCAUUUUGGGACCAUUAUUGAGUAAAAUGAAGGUCACGUGAACACCAGCACUGCGGUACCAGGAUGGCCAAUUUGAUAACUGAGCUCUUAAGUGACUAUCGGUUGGGAUACCCUAAACAAAGUGAUGAUUCAUGUCCUGGGCAGGACAGAGCGGGAAGGUGGGAAAUUUCAUCAUGAUGCUUGUCGCACAGUUUUAAAUGUAUUAAUUGUUUAUUUCUGGAAUUUUCUUUUUAAUAUUUUCAUACCAUAGUUGACUGUGGCUAACUGAAAUCACAGAAAAUGAAACAGCAGAAGCAGGGAAACUCUGGUAAUUCAGGAAACUUAGCUCCAGGAUGAAGUAUUUGUUGAGCAUUUGCUUUCGGAUGUGCCAGGCCCUUGGCUAAGCUAGUGCUUUAUGGGCAUUUUGUUCUGGAUUCUGACUCACGUGUCAGAAACUGAGGUCCAGAGUGUUCGGGUGGCUUUUCCAAAGGUGAAACAAGUGGCUGAAGAAGAGCUGGAACUGAGCCGUGUUGGAUCCCAAAACCCAUGCUCCUAGUUCCUGGGUCAGUGGAUCUUGAAGUGGGGUCCAGAUCAGUGGCAUUAAGAUCACCUGGGGACUGGCUAGUCGUGCAGAUUCCUGGGCCUCACCCAAGCCCUACCGAUACCUAAACUCAGGAGGGUGGAGCCUGUGGGGUGUUUUUAACAAGGCCUAAGGGAAUUCCGAUGCAUGCUCAUUUUUGAGCACCACUGUCCUAGGGUGUAGACAUUGAAAACAUGGCAUCAAAUGAGGCACGUGACCUGUGUUCCAGAAUAAGCUAGGCUGCUAGAGUUGUCAUGUCUACUAGUUCACCUCUUUGGGUCUUUCUUUCUUUCUUUCCUUUCUUUUUUUGGCUUCCAGGGGCAAAUCUGCAGCAUAUGGAAGUUCCCAGGCUAGGGGUCAUAUCAGAGCCACAGACACUAGCCUACACCAUAGCCACAGCAACGCCGGAUCCUCGAACCACUGAGUGAGGCCAGGAAUUGAACCCACAUCCUCAGGGAUACUAGUUGGAUUUGUUUCCACUGUGCCACAACGGGAACUCCUGGGCCUUUCUUUAUACCUAAAAUAAGUAUGCCCCUUCAGGUCCUUUGCCCUCAUAAAAUGCUAAGAUUCCCUGAAUAACCCAGACUUCAAAUGUUUAAAAUAGUGUGAUUGUAGUUUCCCAAUCUACUAAUAUUAUAGGUCAUGCUUACAUAUUUUUAUAAGGGAAUUUUGUGGUUUUGCAAAUUACCCAGGAACCAAAACUGUCCCUCCACUUUUUUUUUAUAGACAGAAUGGAGACAAUAAAUAAGACACAAUUAAAACAACCACAACACUACCACCAGACCCUUCCUCUCGCUGUAAUGAGAGACUUAUGACCAUAUACAUGUAGUUCUUGGUGCCUUUUUGGGUUUUGCUUCAACACUGUUUAUUUGGACCCAUUGGAAUAUAUUACGACAGCUGUAAAAAAAUAAUUCUGUUCUCAUUUUAAGACACAGUGUCUUGGAGUUCCUGCUAUGGCUCAGUGGGUUAAGGACCUGACUUUGUCUCUCCGAGGAUAUGGGUUCUAUCCCUGGCCUCACUCAGUGGGUUAAGGAUCUGUGUGUUGCUGUGGCUGUGGCAUAGGCCCCAGCUGCAGCUCUGUUUCAGCCUCUGGUCUGGUAACUUCCAUAUUCCACAGGUGUGGCCUUAAAAAUAUUUUAAAUUAAAAUAAAAUAAAACAUAGAGUCCUGCUUGAUUUCCUGUGAAUUCAGCUUCUGGGUCUCUGGAUUUGCCACCCUCCCAGCGCAAGAUUGACUCCUUUCCUUAGUAUUCAGAAAAACCUCCUCAUCUGGUGGUGUGCUACUAAAGGCUUAACAACCAGCUCUGGUGGAUGGGAGACCCUGAUUUGUAGCAUUUUUGGAGUCUGGAAGAGAUGCAUGCAUUUGAUUCUCCAAGCCAGUAUGAGCUGGUCCCAGCAUUCCACUGACCCCAUAUAAAAUAGCUCCCUGGGUUGCAUGCCACUGUCCUGGUUUGUGUCUUCAUAAUUUGACAUAAUUUCCCUUUAUCUUCUUCUCUUGCUUCUUUAUUGUCUGUCUCUCUUCCCACUGGAAUGCAAGGUCCCUGAAAACAAGAAGUUUAUCUCACUUGUUCAACUCUCGGUUUCCCAGCGCCAGAAAUAGUACCUGGAAAAUCAGUGGUGUUCACUAAAAUUUUUUGGCUGCAUGAAUGAAUUUUCUCUUAUCCCUCUGUAUUCCGAUGAGAAGUGCAGACCCGGCCAUCUACCACAUCUUUCCUUCUUUCCUCCCUGUCCAUCUUUGAUUUCUUCUCAUUUAGGAUCCUAAUAUGUUCAUUUUCCUCAUCAUGUGAUAUUCCAAUCAGCUGAUUCCCUGUGUCUAAUAAUUUAUACUGAGCUAUAAAUAAAUGACCGACAAGGCGUAAUGAAUUAUAUUUACGUAUUUCUGCCUGUUGACUCUAGGUGGAGUUUAAGAAGUGAAAUUUCAGAUGUUCAGGUGGAUGAGUGGCUUUUCUGUUUUCUGUUCUUGUGAGACCUGUUCUAUGUCAUCAUCCAGGAGAAUAACACUUUACCUCCGUUUUCUUGUAGCAUUGUCCCUGGGUGCAGUUUUUCCAGCCAACAGUGAAUCUUUGCUACAGAAAACAGUCUGAUUUUUGUCCUCUCUUGCUCUUAAACUGUGCUUCGUGUUUAUAUUUCUUUUUUUUUUAACUUGAACUUUCAAAAAAAAAAAAUCAAUCUAUUUUUGUCUUUGGUGCCAAAAGACCACUCUCUGAAGGAUAUUUUUAGUUUCCACUGUGACAUUCUACAGCUUUUACCCAAAAAAAAAAAAAAAAAAAAAAAAAA